RNAcentral lists this ribosomal RNA (474 nucleotides) under uncultured bacterium. Its description in RNAcentral is "bacterial SSU rRNA". It matches the Rfam family "Bacterial small subunit ribosomal RNA", at positions 30 to 501 of the family's 1533-position model. The record is from RNAcentral.
AUUGAACGCUGGCGGCAGGCCUAACACAUGCAAGUCGAGCGAGAAAGGCCUUCGGGCUGAGUAAAGCGGCGGACGGGUGAGUAACGCGUAGGAAUCUACCUGGUAGUGGGGGACAACAUGUGGAAACGCAUGCUAAUACCGCAUACGCCCUACGGGGGAAAGCGGGGGAUCUUCGGACCUCGCGCUAUCAGAUGAGCCUGCGUUAGAUUAGCUAGUUGGUGAGGUAAAGGCUCACCAAGGCGACGAUCUAUAGCUGGUCUGAGAGGAUGAUCAGCCACACUGGAACUGAGACACGGUCCAGACUCCUACGGGAGGCAGCAGUGGGGAAUAUUGCGCAAUGGGGGAAACCCUGACGCAGCCAUGCCGCGUGUGUGAAGAAGGCCCUAGGGUUGUAAAGCACUUUCAAUUGGGAAGAAAGGUCAGUCGUUAAUAGCGGCUGGCUGUGACAUUACCUUUAGAAGAAGCACCGCUAAC